Molecule: long non-coding RNA, 336 nt
Filed under: Mytilus galloprovincialis (Mediterranean mussel)
Lineage: Eukaryota; Metazoa; Mollusca; Bivalvia; Mytilida; Mytilidae
Source: RNAcentral
UUUUUUUCCUUUCUGCAGAAGGUGUAAAAAUAAACAAACACCUGAAUUACUUUGAUACUGUCCACUCACAGCUGACUCAGAUAAAACUCUUUAACUCACCUGUAGUUGUGAAGAUACCUCUUGUCCAUGUCAAUUAAGGACAAUCAAAACAAUACAAACCGGUUUUUUACCUGAGGGUGCAUCUCAUAGUUGUACCACAACUUAGUUAAUUUUCACACCUUCUGCAUGAAGGAAAAAAAAUGCCCAUCAAAAUCCAAAAGAGAUUUUAUCUUUCUGAAACUCAAAAUGCAUUUAACUUUAUUAUAUCUAGUGGAUGCCAGGCAUUAAAACUUUUCC